CAGCGCCGCGGUAAUACAGAGGAUGCAAGCGUUAUCCGGAAUGAUUGGGCGUAAAGGGCGCGUAGGCGGACUGAUAAGUCAGGGGUGAAAUCCCAAGGCUCAACCUUGGAACUGCCUUUGAUACUGUUUGUCUUGAGUUCGAGAGAGGUAAGUGGAACUGCGAGUGUAGAGGUGAAAUUCGUAGAUAUUCGCAAGAACACCAGUGGCGAGGGCGGCUUACUGGCUCGAUACUGACGCUGAGGCGCGAAAGCGUGGGGAGCAAACAGGAUUAGAUACCCGCGUAGUCCCUGUCUCUUAUACA
RNAcentral lists this ribosomal RNA (301 nucleotides) under uncultured bacterium. Its description in RNAcentral is "partial 16S ribosomal RNA". It matches the Rfam family "Bacterial small subunit ribosomal RNA", at positions 509 to 808 of the family's 1533-position model. The record is from RNAcentral.